AGCGAACGCUGGCGGCAGGCCUAACACAUGCAAGUCGAACGAACUCUUCGGAGUUAGUGGCGGACGGGUGAGUAACACGUGGGAACGUGCCUUUAGGUUCGGAAUAACUCAGGGAAACUUGAGCUAAUACCGGAUGUGCCCUUCGGGGGAAAGAUUUAUCGCCUUUAGAGCGGCCCGCGCCUGAUUAGCUAGUUGGUGAGGUAAAGGCUCACCAAGGCGACGAUCAGUAGCUGGUCUGAGAGGAUGAUCAGCCACAUUGGGACUGAGACACGGCCCAAACUCCUACGGGAGGCAGCAGUGGGGAAUCUUGCGCAAUGGGCGAAAGCCUGACGCAGCCAUGCCGCGUGAAUGAUGAAGGUCUUAGGAUUGUAAAAUUCUUUCACCGGGGACGAUAACGACGGUACCCGGAGAAGAAGCCCCGGCUAACUUCGUG
This 433-nucleotide ribosomal RNA is filed under the name uncultured bacterium. RNAcentral describes it as "partial 16S ribosomal RNA". It matches the Rfam family "Bacterial small subunit ribosomal RNA", at positions 29 to 507 of the family's 1533-position model. The record is from RNAcentral.